GGGCCCGCACAAGCGGUGGAGUAUGUGGUUUAAUUCGAAGCAACGCGCAGAACCUUACCUGGCCUUGACAUCCUGAGACAAUCUUAGAGAUAAGACUUUCACUUCGGUGACUCAGUGACAGAUGCUGCAUGGCUGUCGUCAGCUCGUGUUGUGAAAUGUUCGGUUAAGUCCGGCAACGAGCGCAACCCUUGUCUUUAGUUGCUACCAUUAAGUUGGGCACUCUAGAGAGACUGCCGGUGUUAAGCCGGAGGAAGGCGGGGAUGACGUCAAGUCCUCAUGGCUCUUACGGCCAGGGCUACACACGUACUACAAUGGCAGAAACAGACGGCUGCGAAACCGCGAGGUCAAGCUAAUCCGUAAAACACUGUCCCAGUCCGGAUUGGAGUCUGCAACUCGACUCCAUGAAGUUGGAAUCGCUAGUAAUCGC
This 427-nucleotide ribosomal RNA is filed under the name uncultured bacterium. RNAcentral's name for it is "bacterial SSU rRNA". It matches the Rfam family "Bacterial small subunit ribosomal RNA", at positions 917 to 1345 of the family's 1533-position model. The record is from RNAcentral.